UUGGACACAUCGCUAUUCCUGUUUUUUAAUUUUUCUUUUAAGUGUUCCCAGAGUCCUUGUGUGCCUCUCGGAUGCCUUGUAGUGAGGUCUGUUCCCGUAGAACAAAUGGAAAUUGGCUUUGGAAUUCAUGUGCCUGAAGAAAAGUCAUCUCGACAGCUGCCGGGGCAGACUCAAGCUCACACAAGGUGAAAGGAAAUACACAUGGAUUAAGUCUCUGUCUAUCAGCGUGGGACAGCCCUUCAGCUUGCUAGUGAACGCAGACACUGGUAGUCACGCUCUUGACCCAUGCACUAAGGGAAGGUCAGGGUUUGGAGCUGCAGUGGUAACUUCCUCUUUGAGGACAGGGACUGCCGUUUAUUCAUCUAUGGGCCUCUAGGCCUAGCACAAGGAAAGGUCACCUUGCACAGAGGUUUGCACGGUCUUGUCACUGAUAUUGACUCAGAGAGGCCUCCUGAAGGCAAUGGUGGUCAGUGACUUCCAGGCAGUCUCCGGGAUCGUGCGUGAAUGUACGUUUUGUACCUAUAAAGGUUCCACAGUUUGGUCCGGGACGCCAACAAAAAAUUCUUACUAGAAGAAAGAAAAGAUUGUAGCUGAAACCAUGAACCUUAGAGAAACAUGAGUUUCUUCACUUAUUAAUGACCUCCUGUGUGCUGAGGUACCAUUUUAUAUUCUUUCAGAUAAUGAACAAAAUGAAGAGGAUAAUCAAGGACCAUGUGUAUACGUGUUUGCAACCACAAAAGCUAUGAUCUAUAUCUGGAAAAUGUCUCUUCACUGAUAGUUUGAGAAUAUUAAGAUAAAUAAAACCAGUCUGCAUCAACAAGGAGUUAGUCAAGGGUAGAUGACCAAUGGGUAAGCCAACUGUUGGUUUAUUAUGUGGCUAGUGUCAUAUCAGACUAGAUGUGGUAUGCCUACAAGGCUGGAGGCACAUGGAGGAAGGGCCAUUAACUGCAUCCUGGCUGGAGGAUGGAAAAACAAAGAGAAUGCAAUUUCUGGGAGAGAUAAGUUAAGUUGAUUGUUCAGAGUGAAAUUGGAUAGCUAUUGAGUGGAAGAAGGCAAGGAGAGAGAAUGGAGGAGGAGAGAAGGAAUAGAGCAUGGUGGGAUGAAAGGAACCAUCCUUUACAAAGUCAUGGAAAUCAGAGAUGGCAUGAUAUACAAAGGCGCAGGCAAGGUGAACUGUUAACCAGAGGAUAAAGAUUUUCACUGAUGGGAUCUAAGCUGACACUACUGAAAAUCUAGUAAACAUCCUUUCCCAUAACAUUAGCUCACAAAUAUUGAUUGAAUAGGUGACUGUGGUCCAUAUUAUUGUAACUAGAUAAGAAAAAUGUGGUCAAGGCUAUUGUCAUUGUAUUGUUCUGAAGCCACCUAGUAAGUAAAGAAGAAGGGGACUUUAUUCUGUUCUUCUGGUUUCAUGAGUGGCACACUGAAGAUGCCUUGUGUCCAUGCACAGAAGCCGUUGUGAGGCAUCCUUUCUCAAAAGGAAGUCCUGGUAGCCCUAUUCAAAUUAGCAACAACUUUCUCUAUGUCUUUUGGGAGAUACCUGUAAUAUGAUCAAGUGCGAGUAUGAAUUCAAGUAGGAAAAAAAAAAGUGUCUGUUUUCAAAUGAAAGGAAAGCACUCAAUGAGUUAAAGAGAGAAACCAAAGAUGAAGAAGAUUAAGGAACACGGAAGAGAAAAUGGAAAGUAAUUAGAGUUCACUGAGCUAAAAUAUGAUUUAAAGAGUUCUCAAAAAGGUGCCAAGGUGGGAAAGAAAGCGAUUAGAUUGCAAAAUUUCUAAAGGCUGGCAAAAGCUUUAGGGGAAAUCAAAGAACUGUUACCAAUUCAAUAGAAUUUUAUAUUAUUUUAGGGAAUCAAGUAACAGUCCAUUAGCUGCAAAGCCCAAGAUUAAGAAAAGUGCUAAAGAUCAGACGCCUUCUAGAAGCUUCAUACAUCUAAAAGUUUGAGCCUAGCAGCAUAUUGGUGCUAGAAAAGCCUGAGUAGUCAUCUGCUGGCUCCCUCUCUUUACAGCCAAAGAAACUGAGGCCAACGAGGUAGUAUUCCAUCUACAUGUGGUUGAAUCAAGUCCCAUAAUGCUGGCACUUGAUUAUAAACCUCCGACGCCAAACUCAAGGCUUGUCACGGAACUGGAUUUCAGUUUAGAGUAUGGAUUUCUAAAAUUGGCUAUAGCACCAUCCUGUUCUACACGCAGAGAAAUCAUAGAGCAUGUCCCAAAGAACUCUAGACUAACAAUGGGAAGCAUCCGGAGAAAAUGACACAAUAGAAGGUGAGAAGAUCAAGCAGGAUAAAGUGGCAAUAUUAGUUUUCAGUGGCUAUAUUCUAAAAUCUGAGUCUGUAGCCUCCUCUUUCUUUGAUUCAAUUGUAUAGUUCAGCUCUUUGUCUCAAAUCUCGAGAGGCAUAACUUUAGCUUUGUUAUCUGAAAAUGGGGAUCAGAAAUGAGGUUUUAUGGAAAGAUUAGGAUCAUUUUAUGAUCGAACCUAGCCCAUUGGAGGUUCCUUUACUGCUCCUAUUAUAAAGACUCCGGAGAUGAACUUCAGCAGUCGGAGUCUUGCCUUGGCUAGCACAUGAAACUUCUAACUCAACCUUGAUUCCACUGUCCCACAGACAUACUUAUGGCUUCCAACCUGCUUGUUUUUGCCCCACUUGCUAAAGAAUCUUUGAGUCUGCUGUUGAACUUAGCAUGACCGUCUUAAGAAAUAGGCUGUAAAUAUCCAGAGAGUUGUGCCUCUGGAUGAACAGAUGUUCUCACAUCGAUGAUGACACCCUCCUCUGGCAGCUUCUACUUCAGAUGCUCCCCCGGGACCCAGGUGGUGUGCUGGUUACGAGCUGGGCUGCGAACCAUCAGCUCAGCAGUUGGAAACCACCAGGUGCUCCUCCAGAGAAAGAGAGCGCUUUCUCCUCCCGUGAAGCCUCAUGGUCUCAACAGCUCACAGGGUUUACUCUGACUUUUAGGGUUGCUAUAGUGAAUCUGUUUUUGUUUUUUUCCUUUUGUUUACAUAGCACAAAUGCUGUGCAGUACUAACCUAAAGGUUGGUAGUUCAAAUCCACCCAGACAUUCCAUAGAAGAAAGUCCCGAAAAUCUGUUUUUGUCAAGAUUACCGCCAAGAAGACACAUGGGAGAAAUUCCACUUCUGUAACACAUGGGGUAGCCUUGAGUUCAUUUGAGUUUGGUGUUUGGGGAGCUGUCAAAAGGUCCUUCAAUGGUGCUGUAUCUUCAGAGGCCAAAAUAGCCCACAAUUUCUUAGGAAAAUGGACAUUUAAGGAGGUGACUGAUGCUAUUACAUGAAGGUAACUGGUAAGAUAAAAGGUUGGGAAUUAGACAAUGAAACUAAAUAAGAAAAUGCAGUUAGCUCCUGUUAUGGCUAUAAAGUUGGAGAUUUAAAGAAAACUGACCUCUAUUCUGACUUAUGCACCACAAUCAAAACAAUCAUUAACACGUUCCUAUUAAGAAAUCUAUGGCAACCAGCUACAUUUAAGUCCCCUAAAUUAAAAAUCACUCUAAAUAAGACAGAGGAUUUAUUUAGCUCAGCUGUUACAACUUUGUCUCUCAGACAUUUCUUAUGCAUCAUGCAGACAACUAAUAUUUACAAUAUCUCAACAGCUAUACAAGAAAUACUUUAGUUGGUACUUUGUUAUCAUCCUUAUUUGGGCAGAUGAAAAUGUAAUUUUUACAAAACCCUUGAAAAAAAUAGUCUGGGAUUCAAUAUUGUUAUUUUUGAAAGCUCUCUUGGGCAGUUUUCUUUGAUUGUGUUCUCAAAUGUUUUAAUCUUGUCAUUUUUGCUCAAGGACCAGCAGUGACUCCCUAUUGAUCCUUACGUUUGACACAAGCGUCUUUCCCUAUUGCCAAUUCCUUAGUAUAUCGCUCCGCUCUAAUUUCCAUUACAAUGAAAAUUACACUUAACAUUGACACUCUGAAUGUUAAGUUAACAUGCUUCUUGUUUUCCUAGAAUCCAAUUAUGAAAUUAGAGAGCUUUGUGAAAGAACAACUAAUUCACCUCCUUAUUUCCUAAUAAAAAUGGUGUUAUUGAUUAAA
Long non-coding RNA from Echinops telfairi (small Madagascar hedgehog), 4026 nucleotides. RefSeq lists it as uncharacterized. The record is from RefSeq and is a predicted model, not a curated record. The transcript is spliced from 5 exons. NCBI's taxonomy places the organism in Eukaryota, Metazoa, Chordata, Mammalia, Afrosoricida, Tenrecidae.